RNAcentral lists this ribosomal RNA (724 nucleotides) under uncultured Lachnospiraceae bacterium. RNAcentral describes it as "bacterial SSU rRNA". It matches the Rfam family "Bacterial small subunit ribosomal RNA", at positions 32 to 756 of the family's 1533-position model. The record is from RNAcentral. Lineage: Bacteria; Bacillati; Bacillota; Clostridia; Lachnospirales; Lachnospiraceae.
AACGCUGGCGGCGUGCUUAACACAUGCAAGUCGAGCGAAGCACCUUGACGGAUUUCUUCGGAUUGAAGCCUUGGUGACUGAGCGGCGGACGGGUGAGUAACGCGUGGGUAACCUGCCUCAUACAGGGGGAUAACAGUUGGAAACGGCUGCUAAUACCGCAUAAGCGCACAGUACCGCAUGGUACCGUGUGAAAAACUCCGGUGGUAUGAGAUGGACCCGCGUCUGAUUAGGUAGUUGGUGGGGUAACGGCCUACCAAGCCGACGAUCAGUAGCCGACCUGAGAGGGUGACCGGCCACAUUGGGACUGAGACACGGCCCAAACUCCUACGGGAGGCAGCAGUGGGGAAUAUUGCACAAUGGGGGAAACCCUGAUGCAGCGACGCCGCGUGAGCGAUGAAGUAUUUCGGUAUGUAAAGCUCUAUCAGCAGGGAAGAAAAUGACGGUACCUGACUAAGAAGCCCCGGCUAACUACGUGCCAGCAGCCGCGGUAAUACGUAGGGGGCAAGCGUUAUCCGGAUUUACUGGGUGUAAAGGGAGCGUAGACGGCAUGGCAAGCCAGAUGUGAAAGCCCGGGGCUCAACCCCGGGACUGCAUUUGGAACUGUCAGGCUAGAGUGUCGGAGAGGAAAGCGGAAUUCCUAGUGUAGCGGUGAAAUGCGUAGAUAUUAGGAGGAACACCAGUGGCGAAGGCGGCUUUCUGGACGAUGACUGACGUUGAGGCUCGA